ACUUUUCCUGCCGCCUCAACACUGGCAUGCAGCACAGGGCGUCUCCCUGCAGAACUUUCAACUUCUUGUAAUGUUUCUCAGAAAAAUCCAGCAAAAUGGUCAGCAUCAAAGAUGAAAAACAAUGAUGUCUCUCCAGAUGGAUUCUCAUUAGGUUUACCUUAUUACUUAGGUAAUCUUCAGCAGAAUUGUUCAUUCCUGAUAACAUCGUUCAUCUAAUAAAUUAAAAGUAUGUACAUUAUAAAUCAAAAGUCUGUCUAAUCCAAAGCAUGGUUCUAAUAGAUGAUGCGGCAUAAACACGAAUCAAGCAUCAGCUGAAACAAAACACAGCUACCUCAAGUGCAUCAUCUGUCCUCCACCCACUUCUCCCAUUCGAUGUAUCUUAAAGCAGAACAAUUCUUGUUUUAUUUGGUUUUGUUAGGAAAAAAUAUUUCCACUGUUAAAAUAAAUGCUUUAUAAUACUGAUUUACAUAAGGCAGGGCAAAGAUAAAUAAACUCGGCAGAAAUAGAAAGUCAUCGUUUCAGGUAUGGUUUUCAAAUUUUUUCAUCUUAAUUUCUAUGAAAAGGGUUACUAACAAGAUGUAACACCAAUGGAUCAGAUGUCACCUUUAAUUUCUCUUUCCCUGGAUUCUACAGCACAAUGAACAAAUGACAAAAAGAGAAGAAGAUGAUAGAGAAGAACCAGAGAGAAAUCAUAAUGCACCUCACAAAAUAAAAGACAGCAUACAUAAACUAGAAACUAAUGACCUGUUUUAACACUUGGAAUUUUUUCCAAAUAUGUCCUAACACAAUGAGGACUCUUAUUUCUAAAAGAAGCAAAUGACAGUCGUGCCUACUACAAAGAUUUUUGCCUUUUUGUGUACUAUAAUGUUUGCUUAAAAGCAGACACUGCUGAGUAAUUUUUGGAAAAGUUCAAGAUGAACCUUACUGUGUCUCUAGAUAACAUCAAGGUUAUUACCCUGGGUUUUGCCUGAGGUGUGAGUUUUAAAAAAGAAAUUAUGGGGGAAAUAAAUCAGACAUAAUAAAUACAGUGACAGUCAAACCAAUGAAUCUUUUAACAAUGUUAGGCAAUAAUAUUUAAUAAUAUAAAUGCCUACAUAGCAGGGUCUGGUUUUCAGUGAUGAUAAAUACGGUUAUAAAUUGAUAUUAAAGAGUUGAGAAAACUUCUCAAAACUGUAAUCCAGACUAGACAAAGAAUUCAUUUCCUAAAAUUAAUUUUCAUCUUAAAAAAUGUUAAAUAUUCCAAGCUAUUAUAACAUAGGAAGUGCAACAUUUACUGAGCAUUCAAGCAUUUGCCAGGGCCUUUGUAUUUGUUGUUUGAUUUAAUCUUUGCAUGACCCUAUGGUGUGGGUAUUUUAUUUCCAUUUAAUGAAUGGCAAAAUUUCCACUUGGAGGGAGGGUUACCUCAUCCCAAAUCUCCUAACUAGUAAGUGGUAGAACUGGGAUUCACAACCAGGUCUCUAUUUUUAAAAAGAAUAUCUACCUUCUAUAAUGCAGUACCACAGCAAACUGAGUAUUUUCUCCAUAGUUUAUAGUUCGGAUGCAGAUGUGGAGCUCUUUGCCUCAAAAAGUUAUGAGAUGGUUUUAUGAUCAAUCUCUUAUUUAAGUUAGAUCCAUAAAGAGAAAAUCUUUCUGGAACUUUAUCACAGUUCAUUGCUGGGCUAUAAUUGAGGCCUCUUUAAGAAGCACUCCAGGUUUUCAUUUUGAAUGGAAUCUCUUUUCAACACCAGAGAUAGGACUGCUUGAAAAUUAAAAGGGUUGUAUUUUAAACAUUAUCUUAACACAACUACUGCUCUUACUUAAUUGUGGCUUUUGGACAUUUUUAAAUGAAUGUUUUAGGCAAUUCAAUCAUUCAUUAAGUCAUAAUAAUGCAUUUUAUUUUGCAUUAGGCCCAUCCAAUUACUCUUACUCUUCGCUACCUCAAAAAUAGAGAUUUAAUGAACACCACUCUACAAAAACUGAAGUGCACUUUGAUAUCAUCAUCACCCAUCUCAGCAGCUGCACUUGUCAUGCCACCCUUUCUAGCAAUCCGGCUCUAGAAAUAUUCACCGCAAUAAACAGAAUUCUAGAAUGAGGCCAUUUUGACAUGCAGACUGACUGCGCAUCAAACUCUGUUAACUGAAAUACUUAGUACAAAAAAUGAUGAAACCGUCUUCUCUCUGAACACAUUUCUUAAAUACCUUAGCGUGUAAAAUCAGUUUCUCAGAGACAGCAGUUCUUCUUCUUUAACCACCAUGACUCUAUAUAAAAAGCUUAUCUGUGGUUUGCAUGUUGGGAUUAAUCAAAACAGAAAAUUAGAUCAACUGCCCAGAAGAGGUGUAAGUUUUAUAUUCAAUAUCUUACCAAACUGCUUCUAGAAAACCUAAAUCCCUGCCAUGGUAUCCUGACAGAGACUUUUCCAGGUCAGGAAUUCCAACGUAAUUAUUUAAUUCAUGACCACAGAACAGCAUGAACACUGAGAAAAGAUUCCCGGGCCCUUCCUCAGAACAAGUUCUCUGAAGAUGCAACAAUACAGUAUUUGGCUCUUUUUUUAGUUUAGCUUGUGCCUGUAAAAUAAACUUGUACUGAAUUGUGCAAAGAAAGUUAACACUAGUCAGAAAAACUCCUCUGCUUUAGCCAAAUAAAGCAAUGUGCAAACAGCCCCAAAAUGACACUUUUGGAAAUUUUCAUUUAGAGCUAUUUGCAUCCAUCCAACAUUUAAGGACUCACUUAUGGCUCAGGCACUGUACUAGUUAUAUGGGAGACUGAAAGCCAUUCUAAAGAAUUUGAAAACCACUGUACUGCAGCAGUAAAAACAGGAAAAUUUAGUCGCAUUAAAGCCAAAGGCUCCCGCAAGCAACAUGCUCUUACUGUACUUGUAUUAGAAAGGUUAAUUAUACAAUACCUGUCAGGCCAAAAUUUGAUCCUAUCAUCAAAAUAAACUGGUAUAUGUUAUCAAUACUAUAAAAAUUAUUUGAAUACAGAUGGUAAUGCAAAGUAUAUUAAAUGUAAAAAGGUAACAGUCUACUACAGACACUAGAU
Molecule: long non-coding RNA, 3018 nt
Organism: Phyllostomus discolor (pale spear-nosed bat)
Lineage: Eukaryota; Metazoa; Chordata; Mammalia; Chiroptera; Phyllostomidae
Exons: 2
Source: RefSeq, a predicted model, not a curated record